GCGGUACGGUAAAACUGCGGUACA
RNAcentral lists this non-coding RNA (24 nucleotides) under Arabidopsis thaliana (thale cress). Lineage: Eukaryota; Viridiplantae; Streptophyta; Magnoliopsida; Brassicales; Brassicaceae. The record is from RNAcentral.